RNAcentral lists this ribosomal RNA (1425 nucleotides) under Lactiplantibacillus plantarum. RNAcentral describes it as "bacterial SSU rRNA". It matches the Rfam family "Bacterial small subunit ribosomal RNA". The record is from RNAcentral. Lineage: Bacteria; Bacillati; Bacillota; Bacilli; Lactobacillales; Lactobacillaceae.
GCAAGUCGAACGAACUCUGGUAUUGAUUGGUGCUUGCAUCAUGAUUUACAUUUGAGUGAGUGGCGAACUGGUGAGUAACACGUGGGAAACCUGCCCAGAAGCGGGGGAUAACACCUGGAAACAGAUGCUAAUACCGCAUAACAACUUGGACCGCAUGGUCCGAGCUUGAAAGAUGGCUUCGGCUAUCACUUUUGGAUGGUCCCGCGGCGUAUUAGCUAGAUGGUGGGGUAACGGCUCACCAUGGCAAUGAUACGUAGCCGACCUGAGAGGGUAAUCGGCCACAUUGGGACUGAGACACGGCCCAAACUCCUACGGGAGGCAGCAGUAGGGAAUCUUCCACAAUGGACGAAAGUCUGAUGGAGCAACGCCGCGUGAGUGAAGAAGGGUUUCGGCUCGUAAAACUCUGUUGUUAAAGAAGAACAUAUCUGAGAGUAACUGUUCAGGUAUUGACGGUAUUUAACCAGAAAGCCACGGCUAACUACGUGCCAGCAGCCGCGGUAAUACGUAGGUGGCAAGCGUUGUCCGGAUUUAUUGGGCGUAAAGCGAGCGCAGGCGGUUUUUUAAGUCUGAUGUGAAAGCCUUCGGCUCAACCGAAGAAGUGCAUCGGAAACUGGGAAACUUGAGUGCAGAAGAGGACAGUGGAACUCCAUGUGUAGCGGUGAAAUGCGUAGAUAUAUGGAAGAACACCAGUGGCGAAGGCGGCUGUCUGGUCUGUAACUGACGCUGAGGCUCGAAAGUAUGGGUAGCAAACAGGAUUAGAUACCCUGGUAGUCCAUACCGUAAACGAUGAAUGCUAAGUGUUGGAGGGUUUCCGCCCUUCAGUGCUGCAGCUAACGCAUUAAGCAUUCCGCCUGGGGAGUACGGCCGCAAGGCUGAAACUCAAAGGAAUUGACGGGGGCCCGCACAAGCGGUGGAGCAUGUGGUUUAAUUCGAAGCUACGCGAAGAACCUUACCAGGUCUUGACAUACUAUGCAAAUCUAAGAGAUUAGACGUUCCCUUCGGGGACAUGGAUACAGGUGGUGCAUGGUUGUCGUCAGCUCGUGUCGUGAGAUGUUGGGUUAAGUCCCGCAACGAGCGCAACCCUUAUUAUCAGUUGCCAGCAUUAAGUUGGGCACUCUGGUGAGACUGCCGGUGACAAACCGGAGGAAGGUGGGGAUGACGUCAAAUCAUCAUGCCCCUUAUGACCUGGGCUACACACGUGCUACAAUGGAUGGUACAACGAGUUGCGAACUCGCGAGAGUAAGCUAAUCUCUUAAAGCCAUUCUCAGUUCGGAUUGUAGGCUGCAACUCGCCUACAUGAAGUCGGAAUCGCUAGUAAUCGCGGAUCAGCAUGCCGCGGUGAAUACGUUCCCGGGCCUUGUACACACCGCCCGUCACACCAUGAGAGUUUGUAACACCCAAAGUCGGUGGGGUAACCUUUUAGGA